UGCCUAUACAUGCAGUAGAACGCUGAAGGAGGAGCUUGCUCUUCUGGAUGAGUUGCGAACGGGUGAGUAACGCGUAGGUAACCUGCCUGGUAGUGGGGGAUAACUAUUGGAAACGAUAGCUAAUACCGCAUAAUAACAGUUGUUGCAUGACAACCGUUUGAAAGGUGCAAUUGCAUCACUACCAGAUGGACCUGCGUUGUAUUAGCUAGUUGGUGGGGUAACGGCUCACCAAGGCGACGAUACAUAGCCGACCUGAGAGGGUGAUCGGCCACACUGGGACUGAGACACGGCCCAGACUCCUACGGGAGGCAGCAGUAGGGAAUCUUCGGCAAUGGACGAAAGUCUGACCGAGCAACGCCGCGUGAGUGAAGAAGGUUUUCGGAUCGUAAAGCUCUGUUGUAAGAGAAGAACGAGUGUGAGAGUGGAAAGUUCACACUGUGACGGUAUCUUACCAGAAAGGGACGGCUAACUACGUGCCAGCAGCCGCGGUAAUACGUAGGUCCCGAGCGUUGUCCGGAUUUAUUGGGCGUAAAGCGAGCGCAGGCGGUUAGAUAAGUCUGAAGUUAAAGGCUGUGGCUUAACCAUAGUACGCUUUGGAAACUGUUUAACUUGAGUGCAAGAGGGGAGAGUGGAAUUCCAUGUGUAGCGGUGAAAUGCGUAGAUAUAUGGAGGAACACCGGUGGCGAAAGCGGCUCUCUGGCUUGUAACUGACGCUGAGGCUCGAAAGCGUGGGGAGCAAACAGAUUAGAUACCCUGGUAGUCCACGCCGUAAACGAUGAGUGCUAGGUGUUAGACCCUUUCCGGGGUUUAGUGCCGUAGCUAACGCAUUAAUCACUCCGCCUGGGGAGUACGACCGCAGG
Molecule: ribosomal RNA, 860 nt
Filed under: bacterium enrichment culture clone aHCH4_E5
Lineage: Bacteria
Description: bacterial SSU rRNA
Rfam family: Bacterial small subunit ribosomal RNA
Source: RNAcentral